GUGAAUCAUCAAAUUUUUGAACGCAAAUUGCACUCUCUGGCAUUCCGGAGAGUAUGCCUGUUUGAGGGUCAGUAUAAUCAAAAUCGGAGCGAUGCUUUUUGGGUUACGCACUGGAGUGUGGGUCAUCUCAACUCUUUUUUUUAAGAGACCUAAAAUUAACAUUCUUUUUUGCUCAUUUUUGAGACGCACAUAAUUUUUUUUUAUUCGUCUACUUUGGUGGCAAAACUUUUAUUAUAUCGUGAAUUACGUAGAGUGGAUUCCCGUCUAUAAUUAUCAU
RNAcentral lists this unclassified non-coding RNA (277 nucleotides) under Rhizophagus clarus. RNAcentral describes it as "partial contains 5.8S ribosomal RNA and internal transcribed spacer 2". The stretch from base 1 to 71 matches the Rfam family "5.8S ribosomal RNA", at positions 84 to 154 of the family's 154-position model. Lineage: Eukaryota; Fungi; Glomeromycota; Glomeromycetes; Glomerales; Glomeraceae. The record is from RNAcentral.